GAUUCCACUGCCUCCACUCCACCCUUCGAGCUUCCAGCUCUCUUCCAUUCCCACCUCGCAUUUACCUUCGGAACCGCUGCACACCCUCUCUCAGGAACCUGGCAUCUCACACCCACGCCUCGAAAGACCCGCACCGAAGCUUCAAGAGGAUCAGCGUGUGAAGAUCACUUUAUAAUGAUUUGAAAAAGGUUGCCAUGGCUACAGAAAUUGGAGGAGCAUCCUUAGAUGACACAAUACAACCAGCUGUGCGAUUCCUCAUGUCCCAUGAACUGGAAGUCCAGUUCAACCUUUUUGGCCAACAUUGGAAACAAGCUCUUGGACCUGCGUCUCUUUGAUGUUUUGUAUGGGGACUUAAAAGAAAUUAUCCAUCUACAGAAUCACACAAGCAUACAGCAAAGACUCUCGAAGUGGUUUACUGGAGCCCGAGUGGAAGUGGAAAUAGACUAGAGAGACUGCCAGUUCAAACUCAGGUUGGGGAGGUCUUUCAAGAUGGACAGUUUCAGUAAAGUAUGAGAGAUUUCAAAUUUAAGCAUGCAUAUGGCAUGUAGGUUAUUUUUAAAAAUGUUUAACAAGAAUGUAUUG
Molecule: long non-coding RNA, 582 nt
Organism: Poeciliopsis prolifica (blackstripe livebearer)
Lineage: Eukaryota; Metazoa; Chordata; Actinopteri; Cyprinodontiformes; Poeciliidae
Exons: 4
Source: RefSeq, a predicted model, not a curated record